AGCAGAGUGGCGCAAUGGAAGUGUGCUGGGCCCAUAACCUAGAGGGCAAAGGCUCGAAUCCCUCCUCUGCUA
Non-coding RNA from Ameiurus melas (black bullhead), 72 nucleotides. The record is from the annotation of a GenBank genome assembly. NCBI's taxonomy places the organism in Eukaryota, Metazoa, Chordata, Actinopteri, Siluriformes, Ictaluridae.